This 3596-nucleotide long non-coding RNA is filed under the name Nicotiana benthamiana. RNAcentral describes it as "long non-coding RNA (NBEN_LNC037445)". The record is from RNAcentral. Lineage: Eukaryota; Viridiplantae; Streptophyta; Magnoliopsida; Solanales; Solanaceae.
CCCCCCCCCCCCCAAAAAAAAAACUCUUUUGAACCCCAAGUAACAAUGCCUUUCUAGGCAAGUUACUAGGGAAAACUUCAGAUCUGAGUUUUAACCAUUAGUCCCUUUUUAUAUUUCAUUUUAACUAAUUAGUCCCUCAAAUUAUGACUUGUUGGUCAAGUAAUACUACCAAGUUCCUAAAUUUCAAAUUAAAACCCUAACCUAGAAGCUUCUUUUUCAAUUAUAAGAGAUUUCCUAAACUAAAAUUCUUAAGCUACCCCUGACCAACCCUGUUAUAUACCCCUUAGUCUAAAAAGACCCUGGCCAAUUGGCCCAAGGCAGACGAGUCCAAAUAGACUUAGGUUGGCUCUUUGCCGAGCCUUUAUGUUUCCAGGCUCAAAUGGACUCAUUGGGCUAGGUAGAAUUGCCCAAGAGAAAAAUCACAAACCGUUUUUGGAAUAACAAGGUUAACUUGACUUAAAACAUGAUAACCUGAUUAACCAAUUUCAAUACUAACUUACUGGACCUAAUUUAAACCCAAGAAUUACACCUAGAAGACGAAUAAAAUUCAGUUAACACAGAAUGAGUUCUGAACUUAUAUCUUAUUCAAAUAGGACUGAGACUACUUGCAUGGAACCUAAUUCAAAUUUCGGAACUUAAACAUGAAAUUCAACUUAAUGAAGACCUACUAUAACUCAAACUAUACUCAGGAAUUAAAGGAUGUGGAAUUCAGGAAAGACUCAAUAACCUGAUUAAAAUCAAGAAAUUCAAUUCCAAACAAGGUCGACUAAAAACCAAUUAAACCUAUAAACCCUCGAACCAAUAAAAUUUUGACAUGAAAGCCCAAACUAACAAAAUGAGUAAUGGCAAUUAAAUUAGACCAAACUAAAGACCUAAUCUAAACUCUGAAAUCAAAUAAUAACAGCUAACCAUACAUAAAUGAGAUGAAGAAGAAUAAAAUUAAAAGGUAAAUCGAAAACUUAGCUUAAAAAAGAAAAUGUGUUGAACCCUGAAAAUCUUCAUGCACCUCUCCAAAAACCCUAGAUUCAGAUUUUGAGGAGUUGCAGGGACAGUCGAGGGAGACUGGUUGUGAUUCUGAGGUAAUGGAGGUGAGGAAACUGGGUGGUGUUAUUUUGUGGGUGGUUUGGUGGUAGUGAGGUUUGGUCGGAGUUCUUUGAUUUAUUAUUCGAGAUGCUUGGUGAAGAUUUGAGCGAAAGAACAUAUGGAUUUGGGAUAAGGGAGGUCUGGUGGUUAUGUGGUGUUAUUUUGAGACUAUUUGGCUUCAACGCCGCCAUACACGACGGAGCAGCCGACAUUUCAAUUGAAUAUUCGACGGGAUUGGCUGCGAUUUAUGGGCUAGUAAUAGUAGAUCUAGAAAGAGGAAGACAGAGAGAAUGGUUGGCGGAGGUGAUUUUUGGCCUGCGGCACAUGGCGGAAGGAGGCGACAUUAGGGUUUUUGGGAUAGACAAGGUACGAGGUUCUAUUUAGUGGGUGGGGGUGUUUAAAACACUUAUGUACAAAGUAACACCUAGCUUCAAUACCGUUUGAUCAAAAGAAAAUGGAUGGCUCUGAUUGGCCGUUACAAAACGACGUCAUUUAGUUGUUGUCUCAUAUGAGACUGGGUUGGGGACAGUUUGUGGGCCGGGUCUUGGGUAUUUUAAAUGGGUUUGGCUGAUUAGGCUAGGAUUUUAUUUAAUGAAAUUACCCAAAAUUGGUCUUCAUUUUUCCAAAAUUUUUCUUUUUCAAAUUCUUUGAAUUUUCUUUUUUUUUUCAUUUUCCAAAAUAUUAAAAAUCCUAGAUAAAUCACAAAAUUCCAAUUUUACCUAAAAAAAUGGAAAACAAUCCCAUAUAAUUAUGAUCAAAAUGAGAUAAAAGGAAAAAUUAUCUAAAAAUUCAAAAAUUAAAAUCAAGAAAGCAAAUUGAACCUAUUUUGUGGUUUUUUCUUUUAUAAAAUGAUUAAUUGCUAAUGGAUGAUCAAAUCAACUUUAAAAUGUGCAUGCAACAUUUUUUGUAUUUUCAAGAAUUAUCUAAAUAAAAAAUGCAAACACAAAAAUUGUGCAAUUAAUCCUAAAAAUCAAAUAAUUAAAAGGAAAAAUCCAAAAUCUAAGAAAUUUAUAGAAGUAAUUCAUGCGGGGCAAAAAUCACAUGCUCACACUAAGGGUAAAACAACAUUAAUGGCCAUGCAAUUGUCAUUUUUGUUUGGCAUGGCACCCCUCAAUUCUAAUUUAAAAGGGUCAAUUCAACUACAUUCGGAGGGCCAUAACCGUUUAUGUUAUCGAAUAUGGCUUACCUCAACUAGUUAAAAGUCUAAUCAAUUAAUACUAAAUGUAAUUAAAGGUUCUAUUUAAGCUAGCUAGGGUGGCUUAUGUAAGGGAAAACUAAUGUUUUUUAUCGGAAAACUUGAGCCACCACAAAGGUUUGGAGGCCCAAACAAAGAAAUGAUCUUCCUCUGAUGUGAAGGGACCCUCAGAAGUACACCUCAAAAUGGCCCAAAUGUGGGACCUUGCAGUUGUUGAGUCAGGACCCAGCAUUGAAUCCUUACCAUAUGAACAACUCUGAAGGUUGUCAGUGAAUUCUAAUCAUUUUUAGCCGAUCUAAUAACACAUAAUUACGGUUUGAUCAUGAAAGCAAUUCCAAUUUCAACGAUUAACAAAAGGCAAUGGAAUUUUACAAUUUCAAUCAACAACGCAGCCAAUCACACUGCUAUCGAACAGAAGUUACCAUAUCUAAUGAUGUUUGAUCAUUCAACAUCUAAUUAAGCAAAAAGCUACUCAGAAUUAUAUGUAGAACUCCAUUAUUGACCCAACUAAGCAAACAUGUUGUUCUAACUUUCAAGCUGAUUUAAACAUUAUGACCAUGUCCAUUUACACAAUACCGGUUUUCAAAUUACAGAAUAUUCGACCAAAAUUGAAUCCAUGUUCAUUUCAAACCAAACUCAACCCCUAAAAGCACUAUCACUGACCAAUAUUCAAACGUAAACAUAUUCAAACUAAAACUCAAAAUAAAGACAAAAUUAAACUCUUCUAAUGAGAAUAAAUGGCCAGCAUGCUUCAACUCUUCCUGAUUUCCAUAUCACAAAAGGUUUUACAGCGGGUUGAGUAAAAAUGUACUUAGAAAUGAGAGUAAAAGUGGUAAGAUUCAGCAGCAGCAAUAACAGGACCCAACAGUAGAAAUAAACCAGGGAAGUAGCUUUAAACCAACAAAAAACUGAUGCUCACCAAUCAAAAUCCACAACCAAAAAACUUCCAAUACCAGAUUCAACCCAUCUCAGCCCAGCAAGUUUAGAAGCUAUUUUGGGAAUUAGAAAUUGAAGAGAUCACAAGAAGAACCCAAUAAAACGGUAACUUCCACAAACUUCAAACCAAAAUUCCCCACAAAUCAACACCAAACCUAGUCCAUUUCAAUCUUCAAACUAUUCAGAAAUUAUCUCAAAAUUGUAGGCUACAACAGCCAAAGGAAAGAGAAGGAAACUUAAUGAAAACAGUAGAGAAUAUUUGGUCGUUGUAUUUUCUGGAAUUCUCUAUCACUCAAUUCUGCCUUGCAAGGUAAGAAUGAGAUGCUUUUAUAGGUAAGCAAAUAGGGCAAAUUUUAGGAUUUUAAUUUUGCACUCUGCCCCC